Oncorhynchus mykiss (rainbow trout) is the source of this 2055-nucleotide non-coding RNA. Lineage: Eukaryota; Metazoa; Chordata; Actinopteri; Salmoniformes; Salmonidae. The record is from RefSeq and is a predicted model, not a curated record.
ACAGGUUUUUUUUUGUUGUCAUGACUGUAACAUGAGACAUGGGUGGUGUAGUGACCCAAACAGAGACAACGAACAUUUAUGCCUAUCAAGUCAAUAGGGGGUAACACUUCACCACUAAGAUACCUUACCACUUGAUUCGCUAAGCUAAGUAAAUAUGGUCGUCUGGGUACAUCCCACAUAGGGCCACAGUUUGUUCUUUGUGUACUGAGUGCACUGUUUGAACCUGACCAUGAAGCCGCACACAUCAGCCUUACCGUUGUGGGUUUGCCUGAACAAAGGAGACACCUUAAUCUGGGGAAUAUCUCCUACAAAAUCAACCACCCUCUGUUAAUACAACAAGAUUUAAAUUCACUACAUUACUCUGAACAAUCUUGCCUAAUUAUUUUGUUUUGAUUAUAUGUGAUUUUUGACAUAAUAUAGUGAAAUCAGAACAAGUUGACAUGGCAGAGUGCAUGGGGGCUGCCACAUCAAGCAGCAUUAAGGGAAAUGUUAAAGAAAAGGAGGCUUGAAGUACAGUUGCCGGGCGCAACACACCAAAGGAAACGGUUCACCCUAUCUUCAUCUUGGAGAGAAAAAUCCUUACAAGGGAGGAGGCCAGAGCUAACCCCCUGAAGGAAGUAUAGCUCAACCAUAGCAUACAGGGAAUCCACCCAAGCCACUUGAGGUUGGUACAGAGAGUGCACUCUGGCGUAUCUAAGUAAAUAGGAGGCAAGGGCAACUCCUUAUUGGAGGAAUAUAUGUCUGUGGAAAGCAUGUACUGUUCAAGGAAAACAACCCUGUCAGUCUGAAGUCACGCAUGGCCAAUCAGAACUCAGUUCAAGGUACAAUCAAAGAGCUGCCUGAAUCAGCAGAUGACAGAGUUUCUGACCAAAGCAGGCUGCAAGACUGGGGAAAGUUAUGAAACGCAUGAUUCGAUGCAAGAACCAACUCACUAACUGUUCCAAUGGAGAGCGCUUUGUUUACAUUGAAGCAGACCCAGACCGAACCCAGACCGCGCUCUGCAAAGAUGGGUCCACACUGGGUCAAAAUAUUAUUAGUGCAAUGGACAGCGUCAAGACGAGCCGGAACAAAAGCCUGCACUGAGCCCAAAAUGCAUUCCAGCCACUGAAGAGAACUUGAAUUACAUAGAGGAGAUGUACAGUAUAGCUAGUCUGUGCUGGAUGACAACGCCUGCCUGAAAGUGGAACAGAGCUAUCAGAAACACCCGCAGAAUCUGGAGAAAUUCAGGCCACUUCUACACCGAACAAUAAGGGGGAUGAGCCUGGAGAAAACAGUGUGCCAGACCCAACUAUACAUUCUAAUGAGCAGAGAAAGAAGAAGAAAUAAAGUAGCAAAAGAAUGUGAAGAGAAAAAAAUGGAAGUGACAAAAGCAGAGUAAAACAAGAACAACAAGACCUAAGAUAGUAAGAUGAACAGAAGGCGGUGCAACUCACUUGGGAGGGCAAAAGGAGGGAAUCCAUCCUUUAAUUAUCUUAUUCCCUCUGUGCUCUGUUCCUCUGUUCUCUACAGGCAAGUAAGAAACCUAGGGAGACUCACACAGUUAAGUCUGGAACAGAAGUCAAAGAAAGAAAAUGAUGAUGAACAGGACCAAAGUCCCCAGAUCACAAGUGAAGAACACAAAAAGUCCACCCAGGAAGUAUAAAGAUGCUGGAGCUGCAAAGGCCUGGAAUGUCCACCAGGGAAAACUGCGGGGUCUUUCUACUGCAUUGUUUCCCAACAGGCUGCUACUGCUUCAGCAGUGCAAUCAUGUAUGAACUGCCGUGUGUUAUCCAACAGACCCAUUAAGACUUGUAUGUCCAAGUUGUAAAUAUUACUGCUAUGAGAUUUGCUUAGGUGCAUCUAAUUGAAGGCUGGCAUUGUGGAUAUAAUUAUGAUAAUGUACAGAUGUGAUAUUUUUAUUGAUUACAUAUUUCUUUUCAUUAAAGUCUAUUUUGGGACGGGUGUGGAAAAUGAGCUUGAGCUAGACACACUAGUGCAAUGCAUCGGACGAUUGUUUGUUCAUUGUGUCAAUGUGUUUGUCCCCAUUCAAAUAAACUAAACUAUUAUUGUAUGAAA